This 503-nucleotide ribosomal RNA is filed under the name uncultured bacterium. RNAcentral's name for it is "partial 16S ribosomal RNA". It matches the Rfam family "Bacterial small subunit ribosomal RNA", at positions 30 to 523 of the family's 1533-position model. The record is from RNAcentral.
AUUGAACGCUGGCGGCAGGCUUAACACAUGCAAGUCGAGCGGGGUGAUGGUGCUUGCACUAUCACUUAGCGGCGGACGGGUGAGUAAUGCUUAGGAAUCUGCCUAUUAGUGGGGGACAACAUCUCGAAGGGGAUGCUAAUACCGCAUACAUCCUACGGGAGAAAGCAGGGGAUCACUUGUGACCUUGCGCUAAUAGAUGAGCCUAAGUCGGAUUAGCUAGUUGGUGGGGUAAAGGCCUACCAAGGCGACGAUCUGUAGCGGGUCUGAGAGGAUGAUCCGCCACACUGGGACGGAGACACGGCCCAGACUCCUACGGGGGGAAGCAGUGGGGAAUAUUGGACAAUGGGGGGAACCCUGAUCCAGCCAUGCCGCGUGUGUGAAGAAGGCCUUAUGGUUGUAAAGCACUUUAAGCGAGGAGGAGGCUCUUUUGGUUAAUACCCAAGAUGAGUGGACGUUACUCGCAGAAUAAGCACCGGCUAACUCUGUGCCAGCAGCCGCCGCGG